This 259-nucleotide long non-coding RNA is filed under the name Elaeis guineensis (African oil palm). RNAcentral's name for it is "long non-coding RNA (EGUI_LNC042164)". Lineage: Eukaryota; Viridiplantae; Streptophyta; Magnoliopsida; Arecales; Arecaceae. The record is from RNAcentral.
UUGGGUAUUGGAUACUGCCUGCGGUUCUCAUAUAUGCAAGUCGUUGUAGGGGUUGCAGAAUAUUAGAGUGUUGAAGAAGGGUGACUUCGAGCUAUAUGGCGCUGGAGGAGAGUCAAUCCAAGUAGAGGCUGUAGGGACAUAUAUGCUAAAGUUACCUUUUGGAAAGAUCUUAGAGCUAAAAAACUGUUAUUAUAUGCCUAAGAUCAUUAGAAAUAUUAUUUCUGUAUCGUUACUAUUACAAUGAGGUUAUGAAAUAAAU